AGGACGAACGCUGGCGGCGUGCUUAACACAUGCAAGUCGAACGGUGAAGCCCCUUCGGGGGUGGAUCAGUGGCGAACGGGUGAGUAACACGUGAGCAACCUGCCCUUGGCUCUGGGAUAACUUCGGGAAACCGGAGCUAAUACCGGAUACGACACGCGAACGCAUGUUCUGCGUGUGGAAAGAUUUAUCGGCCAGGGAUGGGCUCGCGGCCUAUCAGCUAGUUGGUGGGUAACGGCCCACCAAGGCGACGACGGGUAGCCGGCCUGAGAGGGCGACCGGCCACACUGGGACUGAGACACGGCCCAGACUCCUACGGGAGGCAGCAGUGGGGAAUAUUGCGCAAUGGGCGAAAGCCUGACGCAGCGACGCCGCGUGAGGGAUGAAGGCCUUCGGGUUGUAAACCUCUUUCAGCAGGGAAGAAGCGAAAGUGACGGUACCUGCAGAAGAAGCACCGGCUAACUACGCGCCAGCAGCCGC
This 477-nucleotide ribosomal RNA is filed under the name uncultured bacterium. RNAcentral describes it as "SSU rRNA". It matches the Rfam family "Bacterial small subunit ribosomal RNA", at positions 26 to 518 of the family's 1533-position model. The record is from RNAcentral.